CAAGAGAAAUAUGUCCACCAGUGGCUUGAGGUUGAGGAGAGGGUUGGAUUCACAUCCAAAAAGGAUUGGGCGAGGUAGCAGAAAGGUCCAUUUGGAAAAGCAACAAAAAUCAAGAUAUGAUCCCUCAUAAUUGGAACACAGGGAAGCACAUUCACAAACCCGCAGACCAACAAAUACAAUUGCACAAAACAAAAGAAGUUUCAAAGUUGCUGUGAUUGGAUAUUGAUGGUAAUUGAAGAUUGGAUAUUGCUUUCUCACGAUGACAUUUGGAGGACGACCACCAAGUGAAUUUUGUUUGUUGAUAUUUUUGGUUAAAUGUAUUUUGUUGUACUGGUUGUGUUUCAAUGGGGUUACGCUUGCUAGCUAUAAUGUAAGUUUAUAUCCCCAGGGUGUGCAUAUUGCUUAUGUAAAUUCUGAUUUAGUUUGCUAUCAAGUUUAGAAUGUUGAAAGGAACGAAAUCUGUUAAAUUAUCCAUGUUACAUUCUCGAACUGGCAAUUUGUAAAGCAUUUGAAGCAAAAAUGUUUGUUGUCA
Molecule: long non-coding RNA, 532 nt
Organism: Neltuma alba
Lineage: Eukaryota; Viridiplantae; Streptophyta; Magnoliopsida; Fabales; Fabaceae
Exons: 2
Source: RefSeq, a predicted model, not a curated record